Molecule: long non-coding RNA, 250 nt
Filed under: Limulus polyphemus (Atlantic horseshoe crab)
Lineage: Eukaryota; Metazoa; Arthropoda; Merostomata; Xiphosura; Limulidae
Description: uncharacterized LOC111088414, transcript variant X2
Source: RNAcentral
CCCACUUACUGUGUUCGUAAAAAUGUGUUAUGAUUUCUAUUUUUUCAUCUAGGUGUCUAAAUCCUGUGAGGAUUUGUAUUUUCUCAAACUCUUUUAUGAGAUGCCUUCUACCAUUUAAAGAAGUGUGUCAAAAAUGUCAACCUCAUUUCGUCGAAAGGUUGCUUCUCUGGUAACUGCCUGUUUAUCACCUGUCCACAAACAUUUAAAUACAAAUGUUACUGAAUAUGUUUCUAAACUGCUCAAAGUUUGU